Oncorhynchus nerka (sockeye salmon) is the source of this 2647-nucleotide long non-coding RNA. RefSeq lists it as uncharacterized. The record is from RefSeq and is a predicted model, not a curated record. NCBI's taxonomy places the organism in Eukaryota, Metazoa, Chordata, Actinopteri, Salmoniformes, Salmonidae. The transcript is spliced from 4 exons.
UUUCUCAGAGCCUGAUGAGGAGAGGCAAAUAUACUUGCAUGGGAGUCCAGACGGCAGCAUUAACAUUUGGCCUUGUAUUUGUAUCCAUUCCUUGCAGUCAUUACGAGAGACAACCGGCAGAAUUGUGUCCAGAGCCUUGUCUUCCACCUACACCUUACCAGAACCCAACGCAGAAAGGUACCGGUGCAGAACCGGUUACAUUGGUGCCGUGACCCAGAUCAACGUGGAUCAUUAUGAAUCGCCAUUGAUCAACACCAGCUUGGUCACCGGGAGUUGCUAUGCUAUAAAUAGGACAAAUCUAGCCCGUUCCCCUCUACCCUCCCGUAAUCCCCAGGUCAAACAUCUCCUGGUACCGCUUACUGCUGGUUCUGGUCGACUGCAGGAAAAUACUGGGACAGAGUGGAACUGAGAGAGGAGAAGAAGAUAAGGAAGAUGGAGAUUUGAUUUCAUUUAGAACCAUGGUGUGUAGAUUAGACUACAGUCUGCUUCUGAAACGAUAGCGGAGGUGCAUAAAGAUGGCGGCCUGCAUUACUUACCACAAAUUACUCCUUUUGCUGAGUUCGCUGUAACCUACAUUGCUCUCCUGUGUCUACGCGUCAUCAGGGAUGUGUUCGUUCCGCCAAUUCUGUUAAAAUGUUUCUUGAACAGAAGCAAACGAAAAUAAAUUGGGAUGAACAUACCUGAAAUUGUUGGCAAAUGUUGGACUAAGUAUUACACCCUAUAGAUAAUUAGCAGGCAGCGCGUGUUAACUGUCCUGUUGCGUAAUAAUCACAUUUUGGAACAGUGAGUGCAUUCUGACAUCACCUGCAUAAAACUCACACUGGUGGCGACCGUUUGAUAUAUUUUAAAUGUUUCAUUCCACUCAUUUUUAAAAGUGGUCCAAAAAUAUUUUUCACCUAAUUUGAACAUUCUGUCAACUUAAGAAAACAUGUUUUUUAUUAAGACAUUGAAUUAAAAUAUUCCUAUACUAUGUGCCAAAUAAAGUAACAGGGUUGACAGUAACAGGGGACUACUAAAAACAACAAAACAAAGGUUACGUAUGUUACCAUGGUUAUGUACGCUAUAUGGAUAUGUCCAAUAUAUUGGUAUCACUCCGCGGCGGAGGGAUACAUCAAAGGUGAGGACUUACAGAUUCACUCCCGUGUACACCUGUGUCAUGACUGGGGUCCGCCCCAAUAUAUAGAACCCAUGGCUGCGACACACGUUCUCUACAUAAUUUUUGAGGAGCCUCUAGCACCGUAGAGGAAUGGCGUGAUCCAUAUAGCUCCCAUGACCGCGGUUACAUACGUUACCUUCAUUAUGUUUCACUAUAUUGGAUCACUCCAAUAUACUGGUAUACCCGUACCAGAUUUAGUCGGUGCUAGAGGGACCCUGCCAGCCAAUGGUGAAGUCCCAGCGCGGGAACGAGACACAGGGGCCGUCAAUGUGGAAGGUGGGUUCCGGCACAGUCCCCGGAAGGGGAGGCGAUGCCCAGGACCACUGAACCAACUGCAGAGAGAGGUGCCACAUUUACCCGAUAUUACCUAGCAAAGGUGCAAGAGGAAGCCCAGCUGGCUGCAGCAACGAUAUCAGCGAGCGGCCCUCCUCUCAGUAGAGCCCAGGAUGCAGUCACACCUCUUAUUGAAUGUGCCACCACAGAUCCCAGCACUGGCCUGCCAGCCAGGCGGUAUGCUGUUGUAAUCUUGUCCACGAUCCAGUGAGAGAGCCUCUGCUUUGAUAACCCAGUCCCCUAGGACUCUCACCAUAGCAGAAAAAGAGCUAGUCUGUUGUUCUCACUGCCCGUGUCCACUCCACAUAGGCAGCCAGAGCCCGUGCAGGGCACAGCAUGCCGGAGGGAGGACCAGGCUCUUCCGCCACUCCCGGGGGGUCGUAAGCAGACAGGAUAAAAGGGAUGUCCAUCCGGUAGCACUCAGAACAUACUGAAAGAGCAUGGAGCUCACCCACCCUCUUCAUGGAAGUUAUUGCUACCACGAAAGCCACCUUCGUAGAGAUGUGUUUCAGGGAGGCAGACUCCAAUGGUUCGAAAGACGACUUGCCAAAGCUGCCAAGACCACAUCCAGAUCCCAGCUCGCCAUUGAGUGCGUCCUAGCUGGACGCAGGCGACGAACCCCCUUCAUAAACCAGGAGACCAAGGGAUGGCGCCCCACUGGCCUGUCUAUCCACCACACAUGGCAGGCAGAUAUAGUGGCCAAAUACCCUCAGUGUAGAGGCUGCUAAGCCCUCAUCCAAGCGAGGCUGCAGGCAUUGGAGGACAUACUGCACCCCGCGUGAUCUCAGUAGCAUAGUCGCGUUGGUAAGGCAGUCAAGAGAGCAGAGGUACUCAUAUGUGGCUUUCAAGUCUGCAUCAAAGAUCCUGGGGGGUCCCGGCUUCAGUCGCGGGUUCCGCUCUAUAAUCUCCUGGUCCGGGAGGACCAUGGCAGCUAUCAUGGUGUGGUACUCCCAGAGGCAGAGGGACAGUACGCCCGCAACAACUCCAUGGUCCAGUCUCUGCUGUGAGUCAGAGAGCCCCCUGGAGAGACCCAGCUCUCCUGCAAGGCCUCGAGGAACUCAGCAGAGAUGGGGACAGAUGGAAAGUCAUCACUGGCCACCAGUAGAGAUGGGGACAGAUGGAAAGUCAUCACUGGCCACCAGUAGAGAUGGAGACAGA